Long non-coding RNA from Choloepus didactylus (southern two-toed sloth), 285 nucleotides. RefSeq lists it as uncharacterized. The record is from RefSeq and is a predicted model, not a curated record. The transcript has 3 exons. NCBI's taxonomy places the organism in Eukaryota, Metazoa, Chordata, Mammalia, Pilosa, Megalonychidae.
CGCCGCCGUCUGCUGCUGCUGCAGGCACCGCAGGCUCCAGAAAGGGAGGCAUCCGAUGAAAUCGGCCUUUUCGGGUGGUUCAAGGAGCCGCUAUGCUGUUCUGAGAGCUCACCACUUUUGAUCUGAGGGUGAAGAACUUAGCUCCUGCACUGAGAAGUAUGGUUUAAUCUUUCCACUCUGUGAUUAGUUAUUGCCUUGAAAUUUGAUCACAGGGCCCAGGGGAAAUUUAUCAUUGUCACCUUAGGACUUAGGACCUCAGAGCUGCAGCUGAAAGACAUUUUGAAG